This 323-nucleotide ribosomal RNA is filed under the name uncultured bacterium. RNAcentral's name for it is "bacterial SSU rRNA". It matches the Rfam family "Bacterial small subunit ribosomal RNA", at positions 28 to 334 of the family's 1533-position model. The record is from RNAcentral.
GAUGAACGCUGGCGGCGUGCUUAACACAUGCAAGUCGAACGAAGCACUUAAGCAGAUUUCUUCGGAAUGAAGCUUUUGUGACUGAGUGGCGGACGGGUGAGUAACGCGUGGGUAACCUGCCUCAUACAGGGGGAUAACAGUUAGAAAUGACUGCUAAUACCGCAUAAGCGCACAGCUUCGCAUGAGCAGUGUGAAAAACUCCGGUGGUGUGAGAUGGACCCGCGUCUGAUUAGCCAGUUGGCGGGGUAACGGCCCACCAAAGCGACGAUCAGUAGCCGGCCUGAGAGGGUGAACGGCCACAUUGGGACUGAGACACGGCCCAA